RNAcentral lists this ribosomal RNA (496 nucleotides) under uncultured bacterium. RNAcentral's name for it is "partial 16S ribosomal RNA". It matches the Rfam family "Bacterial small subunit ribosomal RNA", at positions 28 to 506 of the family's 1533-position model. The record is from RNAcentral.
GAUGAACGCUGGCGGCGUGCCUAAUACAUGCAAGUCGAGCGAACGGACGAGAAGCUUGCUUCUCUGAUGUUAGCGGCGGACGGGUGAGUAACACGUGGAUAACCUACCUAUAAGACUGGGAUAACUUCGGGAAACCGGAGCUAAUACCGGAUAAUAUUUUGAACCGCAUGGUUCAAAAGUGAAAGACGGUCUUGCUGUCACUUAUAGAUGGAUCCGCGCUGCAUUAGCUAGUUGGUAAGGUAACGGCUUACCAAGGCAACGAUGCAUAGCCGACCUGAGAGGGUGAUCGGCCACACUGGAACUGAGACACGGUCCAGACUCCGACGGGAGGCAGCAGUAGGGAAUCUUCCGCAAUGGGCGAAAGCCUGACGGAGCAACGCCGCGGGAGUGAUGAAGGUCUUCGGAUCGUAAAACUCUGUUAUUAGGGAAGAACAUAUGUGUAAGUAACUGUGCACAUCUUGACGGUACCUAAUCAGAAAGCCACGGCGAACUACGU